Molecule: ribosomal RNA, 551 nt
Filed under: uncultured bacterium
Lineage: Bacteria
Description: bacterial SSU rRNA
Rfam family: Bacterial small subunit ribosomal RNA
Source: RNAcentral
AUUGAACGCUGGCGGAAUGCCUUACACAUGCAAGUCGGACGGCAGCGGGCCCCUCGGGGUGCCGGCGAGUGGCGAACGGGUGAGUAAUACAUCGGAACGUACCCUCUGGUGGGGAUAACCCGUCAAAAGACGGGCUAAUACCGCAUGAGCUCUGAGGAGGAAAGCAGGGGACCGCGAGGCCUUGCGCCAGAGGAGCGGCCGAUGUCCGAUUAGCUAGUUGGUGGGGUAAAGGCCUACCAAGGCGACGAUCGGUAGCGGGUCUGAGAGGACGGCCCGCCACACUGGGACUGAGACACGGCCCACACUCCUACGGGAGGCGGCAGUGGGGAUUUUUGGACAACGGGGGCAACCCUGAUCCAGCCAUUCCGCGUGAGUGAAGAAGGCCUUCGGGUUGUAAUGCUCUUUCGGCAAGAACGAAACGGUGGGCUCUAACAGAGUCUGCUAAUGACGGUACCUGAAAAAAAAGCACCGGCUAACUACGUGCCAGCAGCCGCGGUAAUACGUAGGGUGCGAGCGUUAAUCGGAAUUACUGGGCGUAAAGCGUGCGCAGG